RNAcentral lists this small RNA (710 nucleotides) under Arabidopsis thaliana (thale cress). Its description in RNAcentral is "ATSL189720". The record is from RNAcentral. Lineage: Eukaryota; Viridiplantae; Streptophyta; Magnoliopsida; Brassicales; Brassicaceae.
AAAAUUGACAGAAAAAUUAUUUUCGGAAUAUUUUUGGCGAAAAAAAUCGAUAUUCUAUUUUGUUAACCUAAAAUAUUUUCAAAAUAUGAGUAAAAUAGUCAUUAAAAAUUAAAUUAACGUAUAAAUGAAAAUGACUAACAGGAAAGGUUAUAAUUAAAAAAUGAUAAUUUUGGAAGAACAUUUUUUACAAUUUCUCUUUAAUCAUUAACCCUCGUUGUAUGGAACUCCGGUGGCGUUGAGCCACGAAUCUCUAUUUAUGAACUCUCUAACCGUAAACAUGACUGCUUCCAUCGGGUCUGUGAUGAUCUUGUUCCCAUUCGGAUGGACUCUCUGGCUUGCGUUUGCUCUGGGGCCUUUGUUUUGAUAUUCGCGGUAGAACAAUGUGGACAAAUCCCCACUAGUGCUGCUAUUUCAUGGAGUCCAUCCCACUGGAUCUAUCAAAACAUCCAUUUAAGAUUCCAUAAUCACCACCGUUGAUAAAUCACCCCACGGUCUUACUAGAAACAUCUUCACCAUUCUGUGAAUGUCGACGUGUCGGUCGAGAGACUGUAAAAAGCCUACGUAUUCAUAGAAUUUUUAUUUUUAUUUGUGAUGUUUAUGAUAGUUUUUUGUUCACUUUAUUUUUUUUGUUCAAUCUAUUUUAAUUUUCUUAACACUGAUAUAAAAAAUUUCAUAGUUUAUGUUGUGUAUUUAUUUUUUAAUUUUUUAUA